CUCAUACAUGUAAACUUGUACAUCAUUAUACAUGUGGGUUAACAUUUUCACCUCGAAGCCCACACAGCAUACUUAGAUAAUCUUCCAUCCUCUGAAGAAACACCCACUAUAGACCAGUAAAGAAGAGCAGCUCAAAGAAAAAGACAAAAAAAACAACCUCCCCGUUGGUCUGAAAUUGCUGCCCACUUGACUUUGCAAACACUCGACAGCCCGGACCGACCAGGGGGUUUCCACAUGACCUUUGAGCCUCAUCUGAUGACUUGCUGCAUGUGAGAGGAUGUCCCACUUGACACAUUCACUUGGAAUGCUAGAUAACCAGGAGCGAUGCCUGACUAAUUGUUUGGAAUGUUAUCUGACUAAUGUAUUAUAUGACUCUUCUUCACACAAAACGCACGUCAGCCUUUGCUCAGUAGUGUUGGUGAACUGUAACCAAGAAUGUGCUUCUAAUUGGACCAUUAUUUAACAUGAAUGCAACGCAGGGUUGGUGUGUUUACUUACUAUAAGGGAAAAACCCAUUCUCUGGACUUUUUUACUAUCACUUGUUCAACAACAGGAAAGUCCAUGUAUUUCCUGUUGAUGUUAAUAUUCAUCAGCAACUCGAUGGUAGAUAGAUAGAUAAAAGCCAUCUUUAUUCAAAGGCCUGUGUGGGCUCUGAAUUGGAGGUGACUAAAAGCUGACAGCGUUACACCCACCUGCACUGUAGUUUCAUACAGUAACAGCUGCUCAGCCAUGCAAAUAUCAGGAAACAUUCAUGUUUCAGUGGUUGAAUAACAGUCCACGGGACAAGUAGGCCUACUUCAUUAGAAAAGGUUUUUUUUGUGUGUGCAUGUGCGUGUGUGUCAGGUAUAUUGGAGGAUUCUUUUGUUUUCACAGUUAACAAAGGGGGGGGAAAAACGACUUCAGUCCACUUUGUUUUUUCCCACAGAAUUCCCCUUACUCCGCUCUUUAUGUUUACAGCGUCAUCAAGGGAUCAUUGUGAUUGUAUCCUGUUGUACCAUGCAAAAGAACUCAAAAAAAAGACGCCUUAUCAACUGGAGCUAUGAAGAUUUUUAAAUGUAGUUGCCGUGGUGAAUAGUACAACUAAGUGCAUAUAUUUGAGGCCUUUCCUUCAUUAGGAAACAGGCAAAAAUUAAGUCAUUUAAGCUUUGCGGCUCAGUAUCACAGAUGGGUUCUCAUUUAAGAGAACCCGGGUUUCCUAAUAACGGUUUAACCAGAUAUGAACUGUAACUGUGGUUCUUCCACUCAGGCGAUGACUAGUUUUGAGGACCCAUUGGAGAUCAGCGACUCAGUGCUGGUGCUGCCUUGUUCUUGCUGAGCUUCAUGAAAGCUGCAUUCAAUGGCAAUUAAUGUCCUGGGAUCAUCUAAAGGAUAAAUAAAGGGACAAUUAGAAGAAUUAUUAAUAUCAUUUUAUCUGUACUUAGUUUACCAAAUGUCAUGUAUCGUGAGCCAGGGGUUGUACUCAGGACAAGCUUUUACUCUGUACUGUUCAAUUACCUGUGGGGCUUUCCGUUGGGGGUAAGGGUUUCACUAUUUUCCUCUUUCUUCUCUGGUUGUGUUUCACAGCGACAAUGAUGAUGAAGAUGGUAAUGGUGAUGCAAAAUGUUGUCAUAGCUAUGAUCAAAAUUAAGACCAACGGCCCUGUUUGAUUUGCGUCAUCUGUGAGAAAACAACAAGAAAUGAAAUUUAGCUUUGAAUAAAAGAAUAAAAGAGAGAGGCAGAGAAAGAGAGGGGGGUCGUACCUGGCCUGGGAUUGAUCACGGAGCCUUCUGUGAUACACUGAAUGUCAGAAGAUGCAUUUCCUUUGGCAACAAUCCUUUGAUUUGGAUGUGGACACCUUUGAGAGACAAUUAUAGAGUAAUAGAUUAAUUCAUGUGACUUGUCUUUCUCUCCAUCAAUUCUACAGAAAAACCUGACAGCAGUGGCAGAAACAGUGUGACAGAGGUUUAGCUUACCUGGUACUCCACGGUUGACAAUUUUUUUGGCUUUUGUCGCUAAAAGUUCCCUGUGGACACGGUCUGCAAGAGCCUGUGAAGAUAGUCUUUCAGUUCAUCUGCCAAUUGACUUAAAUGAAAAAAGGAACAUUGGUCAUUUCCACAAGCAAGGCCAUCUCUGCAGCCGCACGUUGUGUCCUUUGUGGCUGUGCAGUCUUCCAAGUGGACUUGAGCACCUACCAAAAGAUAGUUUUACUUAUCUGAAGGCUUUUGGCUUCAGUGUAUAAUAGCCAGGAUCACAAGGUUCACAGAGUGUUCUAGGAUCUGGGCCACACUCCUUGAUCAGGCGGUUCCCUAUGGAAACAGGACGCGUGAGAACCACAAGCCAACAAGAUAGCCACCGAUUGGCAUCAUCAACUCAACAAACAAAUGACAUUUGCAAAUUUAGAUAAUAUCUUUGUAAUGAUUGGAUCAGUGUGAGCAGCAUCCACAUCUUGUGGGAUUAGGUGAAAAACCACUGAAACUAUAUUUGGUUGCAAGCAGUCACCACAGAGGAACUGCUUCAUGGCCUGGAAUAUGAUGUGCUUUUUUUUUAAAUUCACAAUUACAGAACAACGUGGCAUAGAGGGAUCUCUGCUUCUUCUUUUUAAAAAGAAAAUCAAAUAUACUGCACACUCUAAAUCUAUAG
Long non-coding RNA from Cololabis saira (Pacific saury), 2619 nucleotides. RefSeq lists it as uncharacterized. The transcript has 3 exons. The record is from RefSeq and is a predicted model, not a curated record. Lineage: Eukaryota; Metazoa; Chordata; Actinopteri; Beloniformes; Belonidae.